AUACGUAGGGGGCGAGCGUUGUCCGGAAUGAUUGGGCGUAAAGGGCGCGCAGGCGGCCCGACAAGUCAGUAGUGGAAGUCCAUUUUUCAAGGGUGGAAGUGCUAUUGAAACUGUAGGGCUUGAGUGCGGGAGAGGUUAUCGGAAUUCCCGGUGUAGCGGUGAAAUGCGUAGAGAUCGGGAGGAACACCAGUGGCGAAGGCGGGUAACUGGACCGCAACUGACGCUGAGGCGCGAAAGUGUGGGGAGCAAACAGGAUUAGAUACCCUGGUAGUCCACACGGUAAACGAUGAAUGCUAGGUGUAGGGGGUAUCGACCCCUUCUGUGCCGCAGUAAACACAGUAAGCAUUCCGCCUGGGGAGUACGGUCGCAAGAUUAAA
This 377-nucleotide ribosomal RNA is filed under the name uncultured bacterium. RNAcentral describes it as "bacterial SSU rRNA". It matches the Rfam family "Bacterial small subunit ribosomal RNA", at positions 523 to 898 of the family's 1533-position model. The record is from RNAcentral.